RNAcentral lists this long non-coding RNA (733 nucleotides) under Homo sapiens (human). RNAcentral describes it as "LHRI_LNC2027.2". The record is from RNAcentral. Lineage: Eukaryota; Metazoa; Chordata; Mammalia; Primates; Hominidae.
GACGUGUGUUAGGAAGCUACAAUGGCAGCUCCCUAGUGGAGGUGUUUCGGAAAAACUCCGAAGAUUCCACUUGAGAAAAUCAUCGGCCUUCAGACAACGUCUAUGCCAGAUAAUGCUACCAAAUCACAACCUUGCCUUUCCUCCCUACUGCUGUUCUGAUGUGGGAGGACCCAAAGGCAGCAGAAGAGCCAAAGAAGAGUAGCAGAAAGGCAUAUCCACAGCUCUUCAAAUAAGCAAUGUGAUGUUAGCAAAAGUGCAGGGGCUCCUUGAGAACUUUCCAGGGCUAACCAGCUGCUGAGGAGUGGCCUCCAGGAAAGAGAGAAGCACUCUGAUUCAGGCAGUGAUUUACACCUAAAAUACCAACUCCAUCAUAUCUUCAGAACAAUUCUUCUAGACCUUGCAUCUAAAUAUGGAGUCAUUAACUAACAACGAACAAAACCUCUGGAUGGCCGAAGGACCUAGGCUAUACAGAAAGCUGUGAAUUACCAAUGAGAACGCAGCACUGCUGCUGUACUGAGAAUACAGCUGUGAACAACAUCCCUGUCGCUUUCGUUCUAGAGAGGAAAAACAGGUUUUGGUAUCAGGAUGAUGCUGGCCUCAUAAAAUGAGUUAGGAGGAGUCUCUCUUUUUCUACGAUUUGGAAUAGUUACAGAAGGAAUGGUAUCAGCUCCUCUUUGUACCUCUGGUGGAAUUCAACUGUGAAUCCAUCUGGUCCUGGGCUUUUUUUAGUUGG